GGAACCCUGUCUGUAUUUCUGUAUUCUAAGGCCUGAUGUAUUUUUUUUCAUCCAAAACAGAAAAACAUGUAAGUAGCUACUGUACUGGUGCACUUCUUAUUCACUUCUCGCAUAGUGUAAUCUCUGCUUAGGUCAGAUCUUCAGAACUAUCCAGAGGCCUUAGUACGGAGAUUACUGUUUUAUAAAACUCACGCAUGUGCUCUUCUGAAUUUUUAAUCCUUAUGCUGCUGUGAAAGAGUAGUCUUUCCUCUCUCCUGUUCCUCCAAGCUACCCAUUUCUACAGUGAACAUGUACUUACUCCUUGGAAGUGUCUCGGUUUCAUCAGUUGAAAGUCUCUACCUGCGCACGAGAUAUCUACACUUUAUGGUUUUAUUUCGGAAGAAGUUUGGUAGGAUGUUCAGGUGGUUGCUGUUAAGAUUCAGUAACAGUACUGGUUAGUAUGUGAGUAAAUAUUAGCCAUAUCUUGAAUCUUCAUGUAUGGGACUUUGAGCUUGGAAAUUUGGCCAGAAUAUGAAGUCAAUUACAUAAAAAAUGCCUUGAUAGCAACCAUCCUGCAUCUUUAUCCUGACCUUGAGCUGUAGGAAAGAGAAGUAAUUCUAUCUUCCUGCUCAGUCAAAUCCUUGCUUCAAUGAAUUUGAUAGUAGCUACUGAAAAACUAGAUCCAUGAGAAAGCGGGCUGAAUGCCUUGUCUCACUUUCCAGGCCCUCUGUGCAAUGGCCAUGCAGCAGUAUCUUUAGGUUAGUGCCAAUCGGGGUUAGGCAGCUAGAAGAGAGGAGUCCUGCUGGCCAUUACCAACUUGUAUCACAGAGACAGUCCUCGUUUCUUAAUUUGAGCAUGAGAUCAAGCUUGAAGCAAUCUAUAUGCAUGUAAAUGAAUUAAGCUGGUACACAAAAAUACACCUUUUAUGGAGCAUCUUUUUUUUUCAUCCUUUAAGUAAAGAAAGGUCAAUCUUUCUUUUGUAUUGGAGAACACUUGUUCAGAUAUAACAGCAGUGCAUUUCUGUGCAUUGAAUUAUUAAAGGGCUGUCAGCAUUCUUAAUAUAGGUAUUUUUCUCAUCUCCUUCAUAAAGGUCACGCAUAAGAAAGAAGGCUUAGGAAAUGGGGCAGCUUUCUGAGAAAGUAAUUGCUGUUUGUUUUUAAAAAGAAACAGUACAAUGUUCACAGAAUAAGUAGAAAGAGGAGUUAAACCUCAACUAAGUUAACUGUAACGAAAUUUUCUUAAUAUUUUUCCAAUUAAUACUAAGGAUUGCAGCUUAAAAAAAAACUCCUGGUUUGUGACAAAAUAAAUAUUUAGUAAAUAGAGUGAACUUUUCAAAUAAACUUGCAAAGUAUAUGCCUGUUUUUUCCUGCUCCUGCCUGAACUAAAAAUAAAUCUCUGAGUAGCUGUCUGGUGAAUCAUUCCCUGCUGUUGUAGGCUGGUCAGUUUGGUACUGAAUGAAGAUUACAGGGGGCAGGAAGCCUAGAGCAGCACCUGCAGAAAAUGAUCCUAAAUUGGAAAUACUGGAAUAAGUGCCUUGAAAGCCUCUAAAUCUGCAGAUGCUUAAUAAGACUCUUAACCUGAGAUGUUUUGUCAGGAUAUGUCUUAAGCUGAACUGAGAGAAGGGAGAAGGGACUGCUUGUGAUCUUUACUGAUUUUUUUUUUUUUAAGUUCUGUCUUCAAUAUAGUGUAAGUGAUGAUAAUUUUAUAUUUGAAAUAUCAAUUCCUGCAUUUAUUAACAAGAUGAACUAGAUGUCACCUAGACAUUUGACAGUUGAGCAUGAUGUCAUAUCGUAUAAGGGUUAAAAUCUGAAGGACAGAACUCAACCUUGGCCUGAACAGUGCAUCUGGAUGCUUCACUUUCGAGCCCAUUUUUAAUUUAGUUCAUUAAGAUUAGAAUAAUUCAAACAUCUGAUACUUAAUUGGAAGAGAAACUGUUCCAAGUACCGGUGCAAACUGGAAGAUCAUUUUGUAACCUUUUGGGAUCCCACCUGAUAGAAAAUACCAGGUUUGGGUUUUCUCUAUUUUACCCUAAGAUUUCUUUCAAAAAAUUAGUGUGGGAGCGUUGACUAUAGAGUAAUGUUUAGGACCAUAUAAUUACACCAUUAAAAAAACCAAACCUUUCUCCCUCAUCUCUAAUUUAUUGUAAACAGGAUUGAAGACCUGCUGGCUGGGAUUUUUUAUUUCAGAAGAAAGCAAAGGGUGUAAAGUUUGCUCACUGCUCAUAUACACCAGAUUAGAAGUGCGUAGUUCCUCUUACACUAAGUGGGUGAAAACCAUGACCUCCAUGUUACUGGAAAUAAGAACCAUACCUAUGCAUGUCCAUUCAAUGAAAAAUUAGAGUCUGUAAAUGUCUGAAUAGAUAAAUUGUUCUCUGAUCUCAGAAGAACUGCUCCAUGACACAACAGUGGGCAGCAGCUCAGUGGUCACGGGAAGAAGAAAGGAUACAGUAGAUCCAUUUCUGCAUGUGCUUCUGGGCAUGUUCCCACUGGAUGCUAUGAACAGGAGCAGAACGGAGCCUUCAUCUUGAUUCUGGAAACAACCACUACCUGAGAAACAUGGGGAGCCUCACAGUUUGCACACCCUUGGUUGCGUUAAUCUUGACACGUGCUUUCAGAGAUAGGAGUUCCCAAAGUCAUUGUUGGCUUACCUGUCCUAUUUAAUAUCUUUGGGAUUGUUCCUAGGAACAUGCUGCAAACAUAAAAUCCUUCCAACAUUACUUCCUAGAAAUGCAGACCUCUCAAUUAGAAGAAGGAGGAGAGAAAAAAAACCUAAAGAAUCAGUAUUUUCUGGACUUUCUGGUUUUCAGGUUCUUUUUUGGCAUGCAAAUGCUACAGCAAUUUCUUUGCUUGACCCUAAAGUGGCUAGAGAAGUAGAAUUUAUGAAACAGGUGCAAGUACAGAAUACACAAGGACAAUAUUUUAUACUGGUAUUCUCUGUAGCAGGCGACAAACCCACAAACAGCCAUUACAUUGGGCAUUUAAAGAUAGUUUAAUUCCUCCUGCAAAGCCAGGAAGCUAUCGUUUGUUCCUGGCACAGUUCUUAACUGGGUGAUAUUUCAUACAUGAAAAUGCCUCCAGAUAAUACUUUAGCUGUCACAGGUAUUAAUUAACAUCUGUUGGAUUACAGCUGAAAUGGAAAACAGUGAGAAAGUAAAGAAUCAUACUAGAAUAGCCAAUACUAUUGACCAUGAUUCAAAUUCCAUAAGCUUUGGAAAGCUGAAGUCACAUUUUAAGUGAUCCCUUGCAGCAUUUAAAAUAUUAGCUUUUAGUGUUAUUUUUCCUUAGCUCAUGUGCUUUUAUUUAUCUGCUAUGAUAAUGUACCAUACAGUUACCUUUGUAAUGAGUAACCUUCUUUAUCAUAUAUUACUUCUCUAGUUGUAUUUAUUGGUUUUCUCUUUUUUGUGCUGGAACAGAAAUUUGGCUGGAUUGUUCUCUGCAAAAGAUUUCAACAAAGUCUGAAGAUAUUCCUAUGACCCUUCUUUGCCUAAAUCUAAACUCGAAUUAAUGAUAAUACCUCGCAGUUACCGAGAGUUCUGGAGAAGUGAGCUCACCACUGAAAACGGAUCCUUUUAUGUUCCUGAAAAUAAACAUGAAUCAUCCCUACUUUAGAGAUAAUAAAUUCAAGAUAUAGGGCUAAAGUAAAGCUCAUGACAAGUCCUAUUCUCUUCUUGGAAGAAAUGGUGCAGGCACCUAUGCUUGGGAGGGGACUCUGGGCUCUGGAGCCUGCCUUGAUGGAAGCACGUCCCAGCAGAUAGAGGACAUGUUAGACUCACGCCUGUCCCCAGGACUUUAUUACUGGGCCACUCACAGCAACUGAAUGCUGCAGCACAUGAGCUUCAAGGAGUCUGCAGCCCAGAACAGAGUCCAAAACCCUAAGCUCAUUACUGAAUCUGGGUCUUGCUAGCAGGCCAAAAGUCAUAUAUGUCAUUUAUGCCAGACCAAGAACCCUUUACACAAAAUUAGAGUGGGUAAGAACUGUAUUGCUCAGUGUUGAUUUGCCUGCAAUUCAGGCCUAGCAAACACCAUUUCCAGAUGCUGGGGAGCUAUAUUUUUGCUAUAUUUUAUCUAAAAGUGGCUAUAUUUUUGUACAUCAUGUAUGUUAAUUUCUGUAUAGGUCAUAUUUGCUAAAUGCUUUGGAAUUCCUCUGAAUGAAAGCUGCAUGAACAGAAGGGUUGACUUUCUGCUCCUAGGAGUGAAUGAGUACUUGGCAGGAAUUCAUGUGCCUGCAGUGGGUCAUUAAGUAUUUUUAUAAUGCCCUGUCAUACUCAACAUUUGCAAAAAAACAGCUCAAGACACGUGCAGGGUGACAUGACACACUGUUUUUAUAUAGCAAUAAAACUGUCCAAUGUUCAAACAAUAAAAUAUUCAUUACAAUACCGAGCAAUAGAAAAUGUCCUUCCUGCUCAUUGGAGGGGCUGAUGUGAGAAGCUUUUUACCCACGUCCUCUAGGAGGAACUCAUGUCCUCUGCCAUCUUCCCACAAGAGACUCCAAAGUCUGUCAGCCUCAGGGGCUUUCUGCCGUAGAUGCCAGCUUUUACAAUCCCAUACUGCUUUUAAUACUCUCCGGAUAGUAAAUUUACCUACCACAGAAAGUAUUUUUGUAUCACUUAAAGUAUAACAUUAAGAUGAUUUAGUGUGCCCUGGCAAAGGUUUAGUCUCCAAGAAGAGUGAGAAUUUUAGCUGUACAACUCCAGCUGUUUAACGUUGACCAUUUACAUGGUCCUUCUUGUGCCUACAUAACAAUGCUUAACAUUGAUAAUUUCCUGAGCUGGAGCAUACUAGCUUCUUAUAAAUUAUGCUCUUUAGCAGCAGCCUGGCUCUCCUUUUACAGCAUGGUAAUAAAUCCCAGUAUCAAUCACUAACAUUGCUUCCUUCGUCAUAGGUACUUCAGAGUCUGAUUAAAAAAAAAGAAAGAGAAAAUUUCCAAGAUUUGGGUUUUUUAAGGGAACUACAGCUUCCUCUAGACCAGGGAUCAUAGCGAGUUGCAUGAUCUGUGGCAAGGAGCUCAGACUGCCCUUUACAAGUCUGCUCUUUCAGUAACUACUGAGAUUUUAACAUCUGUGAAUUCUGAAUCCGAGGCUCAGUCUACUCCUCGCAGAAGUUUUUUUUCUCACCCUCUUAUCAGUUUGGAAACAUACAGUUUACAAGAUGUAUUUGUUGGACCCUGAAAAUAGCUGUUGUUAUUGACUCUUAUUCUCUGUCAAGAGUGUAUCUUGUUCAUGGGAUUUACACUUUCCACAUCACUUAAAGCUUCUGCUCUUUGAUACAUGAGUCAUAACAUCCUCUUUGCCCUUUGAGGUCUGGAAAGGCAUGCUGAAAUCUCAUAUUGGUACUUCAAGGGGAAAUAUGACCAUAGGAUUCCAGGAGGUUUUAAUCAGGCUUUUAAUGAUGCUAAACAUACAUACCCUAAUGCUUUUAAUUAUUAGGAAGAGGAGUACAUGUUAAUUCUUGUGUUUGCAAGCCUUACUCUUGACACUGGCAACCUGACAAAGGCCACAGCUUUCAUAUGUUUUCUAAGGCCAUCUCCUACAUAUUGUCCCUAAUGAUAAUAUUUUGGAGGAAUAACUUAAUUUAACUAAAAUCAGGAGUGUUGUGUAUAACUAAAUCAGGACCAAACCAGGGCUGUGAUUUCACUAGAUUCCACAGAGAGGAAGUUAAUCUGAAAGGACGUUCUUAGCACUCUGGCAGAAGUACCUCUCGGUGCUCAAGUCAUUAAAAUGCAUGAGCAUGCCAAAAGUGAAGAAAGUAAGAGCUUUAGGGAAUAACAGAUAGUCCUCUCUCUAAUUCAGUAUAUCAGCCUUGUUUUGUCUUAGGCCUGAAGCAAUCUCAGUGGGCACCAAGAUGGUUUUUACUCUCUCCUUAGCUGCCUUCCCUAAUAACUUAUUUCACAUCAUGUGGUUGUUACUGUCCUCUGUUCAGUUUUAUGUAGAUUUUAAUGCUUAGGUGAAGGGUCCUUCACUCGCAUUCUCUUUAGAUUGUGAAUUUUCUUACCUAAAGGCUUUUUAAUUUCCCAGCUUUGUAUGUUAGAGGAGUUCACUUUUUCACUUGCUAAGUGACUUUGUUUUUUGUUGGCUGAGAAAAAUUGAUAAAGGUGUGUCUCCAACAGUGUAUUUAUGCCUAACACCAGCUACCCAGGAUAGUUAUGACAUUCUACGCACAGUGAAUACCUGAUCAAUGCUCUGCUUCUGCAAAUGUCAGAGAAGGCACCUAAGAAUGGGAGCCAGAACUCUCCAGGGAGAAGUCCUUCUCGUCAUCACCAAGCACGUGAGGAAUACAGUGCAUGCUGCCUGUAUUUACUGUGAGUGCUGUGAGUGCUGUUGGGUUUAAACUAUAAAUUGUGCCAGUGCUAAAAGGUUCAAAGAGUAGGAGCAGCAGCAGCUGAGGAAUAGGAUAUAACGUGCUCUGAGCUGUUGCUGUUUACAAAUGCAGCAGGGUAAACUUCCACUGAGGAACAAGACAUGACAGUAUGUCUUCAGAAGUGACAUCCCUUAUAAAACAGUUCAGGCUGUAAAUAUUUAUACAUGUUGUAUGCUCUCUGAUGGGCAAGCAGUCUGACUUGGUAAUGUCAGGGAAAAUAGCCUAAUAACACGUAAGGUGCAGGGUUGACACUUGUUCUGUGUUUUAUUUUAUAUGCCUUAGGAUCUUGACUUAAUGCCUCCUAACAAAUCCUAUAUUGGGAUUUUAAGUAGUAAUGUUCCAAAGCUGAUCCUGAUUCUUGGCUGAUAGAUGAAAGGGCAUUUAAUUUCCCAGUUGAGAAAAGCUGCUAAGGACAGAAAGCCUUUCUGACCGGGAAAGUGAAGUAAGUUAUGCCAAUUACUUUUCUGUGAACAGAGGUAGGUGAAUAUUGAACGCUCCUGCAAAGCUUACUUUCAAUAUCAAAGCAAUGAAACAGCUUAUCCUGAUGCUAUCUAUACCAUUAAUUCCUCCUGACCUCAACAACAGUUGAACAACUGUGAGGUUUUUCUGUGUCUGUUCUGCAAGUUUUAUAUGCAGAAAAUCUAGAUUUCCUGCUACUUCUAGAAAACAAAUGUUUAUCACUAUAUAUGCUCAGUGCUUUACUGUGUUUUGCAGAAUAUGGCAUCACUGCACCACAGGGCUAUAUGGCCAAACCAAUGCUUUGAUUGAAUGUUCAGCAAUCAAUGUAUAUCUUUAAAAAUGAUACAUAUUUGACUGUAGGAUCCGGAACUGCCAUAUUUAAAGACAUUUCCUUGUAAUUCUGAGUGUGAUAACUGAGAUUUUAAAUGUAUAAAUUCAUUAAAUUUAAAAGCUAUGUUUUCCGCAACAACCAGAUCUUGACUUCAGGCAUGUUACAACAAAAAGGAAAUCAUAUCUACAUUAAUCUAA
This is a long non-coding RNA of Dromaius novaehollandiae (emu), 7322 nucleotides long. RefSeq lists it as uncharacterized. NCBI's taxonomy places the organism in Eukaryota, Metazoa, Chordata, Aves, Casuariiformes, Dromaiidae. The transcript has 4 exons. The record is from RefSeq and is a predicted model, not a curated record.